RNAcentral lists this ribosomal RNA (440 nucleotides) under uncultured bacterium. Its description in RNAcentral is "partial 16S ribosomal RNA". It matches the Rfam family "Bacterial small subunit ribosomal RNA", at positions 338 to 795 of the family's 1533-position model. The record is from RNAcentral.
CCUACGGGAGGCAGCAGUGGGGGAUAUUGCACAAUGGGGGGAACCCUGAUGCAGCGACGCCGCGUGGGUGAAGAAGCGCCUCGGCGCGUAAAGCCCUGUCAGCAGGGAAGAAAAUGACGGUACCUGAAGAAGAAGCCCCGGCUAACUACGUGCCAGCAGCCGCGGUAAUACGUAGGGGGCAAGCGUUAUCCGGAUUUACUGGGUGGAAAGGGGGCGCAGACGGCGAUGCAAGCCAGGAGUGAAAGCCCGGGGCCCAACCCCGGGACUGCUCUUGGAACUGCGUGGCUGGAGUGCAGGAGGGGCAGGCGGAAGUCCUGGUGUAGCGGUGAAAUGCGUAGAUAUAAGGAGGAACACCGGUGGCGAAGGCGGCCUGCUGGACUGCAACUGACGUUGAGGCCCGAAAGCGUGGGGAGCAAACAGGAUUAGAUACCCCAGUAGUC